UACGGAGGGGGCAAGCGUUAUCCGGAAUGAUUGGGCGUAAAGCGUCCGUAGGUGGUUUUUCCAGUCGGCUGUUAAAGAGCAAAGCUCAACUUUGUAAAGGCAGUGGAAACUGAAAGACUAGAGAGCCGUAGGGGUAGAGGGAAUUCCCGGUGUAGCGGUGAAAUGCGUAGAGAUCGGGAAGAACACCGGUGGCGAAAGCGCUCUACUGGACGGGAUCUGACACUAACAGGACGAAAGCUAGGGGAGCGAAUGGG
This 254-nucleotide ribosomal RNA is filed under the name uncultured bacterium. Its description in RNAcentral is "partial 16S ribosomal RNA". It matches the Rfam family "Bacterial small subunit ribosomal RNA", at positions 524 to 776 of the family's 1533-position model. The record is from RNAcentral.